RNAcentral lists this transfer RNA (72 nucleotides) under Saccoglossus kowalevskii. RNAcentral's name for it is "tRNA-Ala". It matches the Rfam family "tRNA". From Rfam's summary of the family: Transfer RNA (tRNA) molecules are approximately 80 nucleotides in length. Their secondary structure includes four short double-helical elements and three loops (D, anti-codon, and T loops). The record is from RNAcentral. Lineage: Eukaryota; Metazoa; Hemichordata; Enteropneusta; Harrimaniidae.
GGGGAUGUAGCUCAGUGGUAGAGCGCAUGUUUUGCAUGUAUGAGGCCCUGGGUUCGAUACCCGACAUCUCCA